UUUCCGUAGGUGAACCUGCGGAAGGAUCAUUACCGAGUGAGGGCCCUCUGGGUCCAACCUCCCACCCGUGUUUAUCGUACCUUGUUGCUUCGGCGGGCCCGCCUCACGGCCGCCGGGGGGCACCCGCCCCCGGGCCCGCGCCCGCCGAAGACACCAUUGAACGCUGUCUGAAGAUUGCAAUCUGAGCAUCUUAGCUAAAUCAGUUAAAACUUUCAACAACGGAUCUCUUGGUUCCG
RNAcentral lists this unclassified non-coding RNA (236 nucleotides) under plant metagenome. Its description in RNAcentral is "partial contains small subunit ribosomal RNA, internal transcribed spacer 1, and 5.8S ribosomal RNA". The record is from RNAcentral.